Molecule: long non-coding RNA, 366 nt
Organism: Ananas comosus (pineapple)
Lineage: Eukaryota; Viridiplantae; Streptophyta; Magnoliopsida; Poales; Bromeliaceae
Exons: 2
Source: RefSeq, a predicted model, not a curated record
AACUUGUCCAAAAGUCUAAAUUGACAUUCCGACAGGUCGACGACGCGCUAAUUACGGUAGAGGCCGUUCUAGCUCUAUUUGCACUGAGUCGCGAGAGCUUGUUGUCGACACACUUCGAGACGUGAGAUCCUAGUGUUUGACACCACUACAGGUUCCAGUGCGAGCGUUGUGGCCGAGAAUCGUGGCAAGAGCCCCGCAGUCUAGCUAGCAGACACCAGUGUUUAGUGGUAUACCAUUUUGAGUUCAGGUGAGACAUUUUGAUGUACAGAGAUAUGUAAAUAAAUGUAUUAAAGAGCAUGUAAAUACUUAAAUGUUUCAGUUAUUCGGUUCAGUGUGAAAGUUUUAAAUUACAGUGAAUUUUCAGUA